GUUAAGAGUACGAAGUGGCGGAGCGAAACAAGUCCUUCCACAGGCUGCCCCACCCCUGCGGAGGGGUAAGCCGGAUGGUGGAGAACGGGGAUAGAUGGGCCGAUCCCUGAUCCCAUGAUAGAUAUUUUCAGGGGGUGGGACCCGAGACUCGAGCCCUGGUCCUCCAGAGUGGAAGGCUGUAGCGUUUCAUGCGGCCAAUCCACUCGACUAUCGGUAAUCAUUCUCUACUCUGGCUCGUUUUACAUCUCCAAAUUUUUACAAACCGAGUUAUUGUGUGGGGAGACCGCCGCCCCGACUAUGGGGCCAGCUGUUGAAUGAAGAAGGGGAUUCGACACGCGACGGCUGGUGCGUUACCAAUUAUCGAACGUCGAUCACCGAAUUAGGAACUAUGGAUUUACCCGUCGGAAUCCGUAGUUAGAACAUCGGUCGGAUAGUCGACUGGUGAUGGGUAGACUUAUGACGUCCGGAUUCAAUUCCCGGUUCCCACUCAAAAAGUUUCGAGAAAAGACGCGGUUGAUGGAAAUUCCGUCUUUCGCCUAUCCCAUCUGGAGUAGGUGUCGGAAAGCUUAACCACUUGGUAAUCACCGCAGAAAGGGUAAGACCACAAAAAAGAUUAGCGUAGAUAGUCGUCGGCUAAAAAUUUUCUUCGGUAUUUAAUGCAAGAUUAAAAAAUGUUUUUCUGCCUGUUUCAUUAAGCGCUUCGAUUUUAAGCUGAUUGGGAAGACCUAAUUAGCUUGGCGAUGCCAUAUAGUCUAAAAUAGGAAGCAGGAUUAGUCAC
Molecule: long non-coding RNA, 778 nt
Filed under: Androctonus crassicauda
Lineage: Eukaryota; Metazoa; Arthropoda; Arachnida; Scorpiones; Buthidae
Source: RNAcentral